Long non-coding RNA from Scylla paramamosain (green mud crab), 2434 nucleotides. RefSeq lists it as uncharacterized. The record is from RefSeq and is a predicted model, not a curated record. The transcript is spliced from 2 exons. NCBI's taxonomy places the organism in Eukaryota, Metazoa, Arthropoda, Malacostraca, Decapoda, Portunidae.
UACUGGAAUGUACUUGUGGUGGUGACGGUGGAGUGAAGUCCUCACCUGAUUGUUUGAGGUGGAGGUGGUGGCGAUGGUGGAGGUGGCGUGUAGGGGGGAAGGAUGUAGGUGGAUGAUGAUAAUAAUAAUGGAGAAUGGAAGUGGUGGGCAGCACGAUUGUUUUGCAGGCUGUGCUGGUGGUGAUAAGAAACACAAUAAGUGGUGAUUUAAAUGAGGCUUUAUUUAGUCUUGUGUAAUGCGUUGUGUGCACGGUGAGUGAAUGACUGUGUGGAAAGCUGAGAUGCGACGUGAUGCUGUAUGUGUGUGUGUAUGUGUGUGUGUGUGUGUGGCGGCGUUGGAGCUGUCAAAUAGUUCACACCAACAAGUGACCAUGACGAAGGUGAAGUGACUCGUGUUAUUAUUGGCCAGAAGAAAAAAAAAUGUGUGUGAGAGAGAGAGAGAGAGAGAGAGAGAGAGAGAGAGAGGAGAGAGAGAGAGAGAGAGAGAGAGAGAGAGAGUAGGCGCGUCACCGUAACAUAAAGUGUGGAAGUAAAUAGUCACACCAGCCAUGAGCAGAGUAGUAGCAGGUUUACGGGCGAGAGAAAUUAUAGUCCACUCUUCUUGUAAUGGUGCGGCGUGAGCAGUUGGUGAAUAAUUAGUGACUCAGCAGUGUUAUUCUCAUGAAGGGUAGUGACCGGGACGAGAGGGGCGGCCAGGCGGGUCUUCCACCACUCUAGGAAACUUGCAGCCGUGCCCUUGAUGUUGGCAUGCGCUAAGGUUGGGUUAGGUUAACUUAGUUUAGCUUUGGUUAGGUUAGCAGUGCAAGUCAAUGAAAACGAACAGGAAAAUAGACGUAUCUGAUUUAGCAGUCUGAGAAGUUAUUGAUGGAAUCUUGAGGUGAGCAGUUUAAACCAGUGAAAAGGAACGAGAAAAUAGACGUAUCUUAUUUAGUAGUCUGAAAGGUUAUUUAUUGAUUCUUCAGUUUAGCAGUUUAAGUCAGUGAAAACGAACAAGGAAAUGGACAUGCCAAAUUUAGUAAUCUGUAAAGUUAUUCAUGGUUUCAUUGCACGUAAAGGCACUUAGUUUGUGAUGUAGGUGGGUAGCAUGGUAGGUAAGGUUUGUGUGGUGUAGUGAGUGAAAGAGAUAAAGAAAGACUAAUGUAAGACAGCAAUCAGGAAAGAAAAAAAAAUCAUGGAUCCAUUAAACAUUAUAAUCGGAUAAGGAAAGGAGUAUGCAUGACUUGUAUAGAGAAUUAACCUUGAACGAAAUGGGAAGAGAGCGAAGACUUGAAUUCAAAAUGAUGACAUGAAAAAAAAAAAGAAAAAAAAGAAUUUACUAUAAGUAUAUUGCGUUCAGUUAUAUAUGUAAUUAUUUCGAAGAGUGUGCAUGGCUAGAUAGAUGACUGACCUUGAUUAGAAGUAAAAAAAAAAAAAAGAAAAAGAAAAAGAAAGAAAAUAACUAGAAAAUUAAAGUUACUCACGAAUUUAUGUAUUAUAACCGCUUGAAGAUGAAGAUGAGAUAACUAGUAGGGGAAAGUGAUUAAAGGGGAGAAAUAUAUAUGUAAAUUUGCAGUUUCGGCCAACACCCAUUUUCAUGUACUAUUUCCUGUUAGUAGAUAAAAUGAAGCUAAGGUUAGAGAAACAGUCCCAACAGUGAGGCGCAGCUGAGACUUCUGGAUGUUUAUAACCACGUUUAUUAUAAUGCAUGAAACUACAAAUCCCUUUCCCUUCUCCGUCCCCACCCAAAAAAAAAAAAAAAAAAAAAAAAAAGAAAAGAAAGAAAAGAAAAAGAAAAGACAUGCACUAGACAGUAAUGGAGAAAAGUAUACAUAUGACCAUGGCUGAGGGAACGGUUCGGCGACCAUGAAGGAAAGCCAGGCGUGAAAUGACCAUGAGUGGAACGAGAGACUGGAAGGAAAUGAAAAAAAAAAAAAAAAAAAAACUAACCCCUUUUACGCGUUGGGUCACCUGGGUAGUUAGCAUGGUUGGGUUAGGUUAAGUUAGGUUAGAUUGGGUUGUUUGUUUAGGUUACCUUAGAUUUUUUGGUUAGGUUAGGUUAAGUUAAGUAGGGUUACGUUAGCUUAGGUUGUCUGGUUAGGUUACAUUAGGUUUGGUUGCCUGGUCAGUUUAGGUUAAAUUGUUUGGUUAAGUUAGCUUUUUUUGGUUACGUUAGCUUGUUUGGUUAGCUUAGUUUAGUUAGAUUGCUUGGUUAGGUUACGUUACGUCUGGUUGUUUGGUUAGUUUAGGUUAGAUUUAGUUAAGCUAUAGAAAUGCGGUAGGGUGAAUAGUGGUGGUGGUGGUGGUGGUGGUGGUCAGAAGUGUGGUAAUAAUGGUGGGAGUUUUGCUCACGUGGCCAAGAAUAUAAAUAAUUAGGGAAAAAAUUUGUAAUGUUCCCGUGAGAAUGUUAGAUGACGUGAUACAGAGUGGUCAAGGAUGAGAGUGUGCCACGAGUAUGA